GCGGGCGUAGCUCAAUUGGCAGAGCGUCGGCUUCCCAAGCCGAAGGUUGCGGGUUCGAGGCCCGUCGCCCGCU
This 73-nucleotide transfer RNA is filed under the name Gemmatales bacterium. RNAcentral's name for it is "tRNA-Gly". It matches the Rfam family "tRNA". Rfam says of the family: Transfer RNA (tRNA) molecules are approximately 80 nucleotides in length. Their secondary structure includes four short double-helical elements and three loops (D, anti-codon, and T loops). Lineage: Bacteria; Pseudomonadati; Planctomycetota; Planctomycetia; Gemmatales. The record is from RNAcentral.